RNAcentral lists this ribosomal RNA (466 nucleotides) under uncultured bacterium. RNAcentral's name for it is "partial 16S ribosomal RNA". It matches the Rfam family "Bacterial small subunit ribosomal RNA", at positions 339 to 795 of the family's 1533-position model. The record is from RNAcentral.
CUACGGGUGGCAGCAGUGGGGAAUAUUGGACAAUGGGGGAAACCCUGAUCCAGCAAUGCCGCGUGUGUGAAGAAGGCCUGCGGGUUGUAAAGCACUUUCGGUUGGGAGGACUGCUUCUAGCACUAAUAUUGUUGGAAGUUGACGUUACCUUCAGAAUAAGCACCGGCUAACUCCGUGCCAGCAGCCGCGGGUAAUACGGAGGGUGCAAGCGUUAAUCGGAAUUACUGGGCGUAAAGCGCGCGUAGGCGGCUAGAUCAGUCGGGUGUGAAAGCCCCGGGCUUAACCUGGGAACUGCAUCCGAUACUGUCUAGCUUGAGUACAGGAGAGGAGAGUGGAAUUCCACAUGUAGCGGUGAAAUGCGUAGAUAUGUGGAGGAACACCAAUGGCGAAGGCAGCUCUCUGGCCUGAUACUGACGCUGAGGUGCGAAAGCGUGGGGAGCAAACAGGAUUAGAUACCCGCGUAGUC